Molecule: non-coding RNA, 48 nt
Organism: Schistosoma rodhaini
Lineage: Eukaryota; Metazoa; Platyhelminthes; Trematoda; Strigeidida; Schistosomatidae
Source: Rfam
GUCCAGCUGACGAGUCCCAAAUAGAACGAAACGCGCGUCAAACUGGAU